Molecule: non-coding RNA, 67 nt
Organism: Trichonephila clavata
Lineage: Eukaryota; Metazoa; Arthropoda; Arachnida; Araneae; Nephilidae
Source: the annotation of a GenBank genome assembly
GUCCCUGUAGCACAAUGGAUAGCGUGUUGGACUGCUAAUCCAAAGGUUGUGGGUUCCACCUGGGAUG